This 915-nucleotide ribosomal RNA is filed under the name Staphylococcus aureus. RNAcentral describes it as "partial 23S ribosomal RNA". It matches the Rfam family "Bacterial large subunit ribosomal RNA", at positions 457 to 1380 of the family's 2925-position model. The record is from RNAcentral. Lineage: Bacteria; Bacillati; Bacillota; Bacilli; Caryophanales; Staphylococcaceae.
CUCCUAAGGCUAAAUACUCUCUAGUGACCGAUAGUGAACCAGUACCGUGAGGGAAAGGUGAAAAGCACCCCGGAAGGGGAGUGAAAUAGAACCUGAAACCGUGUGCUUACAAGUAGUCAGAGCCCGUUAAUGGGUGAUGGCGUGCCUUUUGUAGAAUGAACCGGCGAGUUACGAUUUGAUGCAAGGUUAAGCAGUAAAUGUGGAGCCGUAGCGAAAGCGAGUCUGAAUAGGGCGUUUAGUAUUUGGUCGUAGACCCGAAACCAGGUGAUCUACCCUUGGUCAGGUUGAAGUUCAGGUAACACUGAAUGGAGGACCGAACCGACUUACGUUGAAAAGUGAGCGGAUGAACUGAGGGUAGCGGAGAAAUUCCAAUCGAACCUGGAGAUAGCUGGUUCUCUCCGAAAUAGCUUUAGGGCUAGCCUCAAGUGAUGAUUAUUGGAGGUAGAGCACUGUUUGGACGAGGGGCCCCUCUCGGGUUACCGAAUUCAGACAAACUCCGAAUGCCAAUUAAUUUAACUUGGGAGUCAGAACAUGGGUGAUAAGGUCCGUGUUCGAAAGGGAAACAGCCCAGACCACCAGCUAAGGUCCCAAAAUAUAUGUUAAGUGGAAAAGGAUGUGGCGUUGCCCAGACAACUAGGAUGUUGGCUUAGAAGCAGCCAUCAUUUAAAGAGUGCGUAAUAGCUCACUAGUCGAGUGACACUGCGCCGAAAAUGUACCGGGGCUAAACAUAUUACCGAAGCUGUGGAUUGUCCUUUGGACAAUGGUAGGAGAGCGUUCUAAGGGCGUUGAAGCAUGAUCGUAAGGACAUGUGGAGCGCUUAGAAGUGAGAAUGCCGGUGUGAGUAGCGAAAGACGGGUGAGAAUCCCGUCCACCGAUUGACUAAGGUUUCCAGAGGAAGGCUCGUCCGCUCUGGGU